This 5490-nucleotide long non-coding RNA is filed under the name Manihot esculenta (cassava). RNAcentral's name for it is "long non-coding RNA (MESC_LNC006678)". The record is from RNAcentral. Lineage: Eukaryota; Viridiplantae; Streptophyta; Magnoliopsida; Malpighiales; Euphorbiaceae.
UGAGUACCCUGAUUAGUCAAGGUUAUAUAAGCGAAUAGCGAAGCCAACAGGCAGCAUUCCAUUAGAAGCCUCACAGUAGGCACAAAAGAUAAGAACUGAACAUGAGAAUUCAUGAACAGGCUACUUAUUUUAUUACAGGGGCAAAAUAGUAAUUAUACAUUAUCAUCGAUGCAAUCGUUACAAUAAUUCUCACCUCUCUUGUAGACAGGGGGGACGGUCUACAAGGAGUGAAGGCACAACUUGGAUCUCCGUAGGCCUACGGUAGCCAACUGGGCCCAGCCCCAGCUGGUGGCCAACUAGUCACUCCCCCCUAAAGAGCCUUAGGAACAACUUGGCUUGUGGCAGGAGGAGACAUCAACAUGUCUCAUAUGACACCCCCCUAAAAUAAAUACAUGAAAAGGAAUUACAACAAAUUGUCUCGGCCAUUAUCUUCAUACUAAUUUCUACUAUUUUCUCCCAAUAUUGCUUUCUAGGAAUUCCAAUGUUGGAAAAUUACAGUUUUGAUCCCUGAAAACUCUAUGACCCUGACACUCCCCCACUUAAACGGUCGAUGUCCUCGUCGACUGAGUUUGUUGGGGUUCUUCAAUCUUUGAGUCCGACAUUCUUAGGCUUGCAGUGUGAUUUGAUCCUAGUCCUGCUCAAUUAAAUUGUUGGACAGCAUAGUUCUUAAUGAUGAUGAGACUACAAAAGCUCUAUCUUCUGGUGGUAAAUGUUCUGCCCUUGAUUCCUUAGACUACUGCAAAUGGUGCUAGAAAUUAUUGCUUUACUCCUCUGCACGAACUUAUUGCCUGAAGUCAUUGAUCACUGGUUCUUUUCUCCUUAACUUGUCUCGCCAUUACUUGUCUUUAAUUGUCGACCUUACUCUUUGCCUCAAAGCACGACCCCAUGGUGCAACAAAUCUAUCAACCUGCAUACACUCAUGCCAUAUGAUAUUAUGAUUAACCUGUAAUAAUCUCAUAAGAAAGGUUAGUAUUAACCACGUUAGAAUCAAAUACGAUCUAAUAUAGCAAGUCAUCUAGAAUACAAUCCAUUAUAAAUUAAUAGAUAUGACAACAGCACUUGUCCACUAAAACUUGAACUGCCUUUACCCAUCUGCUUGACAUAACACAACGUUAUUCCACCUGUAGCGAAGCUCGGCAAAUCCUCCUAAGGAACUGGUGUCCCUAUUGUCAAAAGAGUUCGCUCAAUACUCUCUUUCUCCUUUUUUUUUUACGUCUUAUGUUCCUCCCCUUCAUAAGCUCUGGUAUUAUGUACACUUUAUCUCCUUUUCCUUUCCCCCAGAAUGUAGUCUAUGCAAAUGCCUACAAAACGUCUCCCAUUACACACACAAAAUAUCCACGAUCACUGAAAAGGGGCAUUUUCUUGUUGAACCCUAUGAGCAACAGAAAUCUACUCAAAACAACUAUUAAGAUUGACUAUACAUGAACCAAUUAAUACCAUCUUCAUGACUUGACACUAAGAAAUUACUAGAAGAUACUCCCUUUCUUAUACUGCUUUCAUCAUAGCUCACAACAUCGAUUCGCCUCACCAACUUGCCUCAAGCAACCUGUGCUUCUCGACCCAUCUCGGUCCUCCCCCACAUUGAUGCACUUGGGAGAACUUUUAUUUGGCCAUGAGGUCUCUUUCCUGCUCGACAACAAAGGUAGGACUAAAUUUUUCCUUUUUUAAUUACACAUUAUUAUCCAAUCCCUUUUAAGGCAGCUACAUCCUAUAUGUUCACAAUAUUUGUUAGCACCAACUUGUCAAGUCCCACAUCACGAGGAACCUGACUCAAUAAUCCACAAAAUAUUUCAAAAUAAAUGAAUAACUAUAUAAAGUAAGGUAAGGAAUGAUAUCAGGAAACACAAAAACAUUAUACUCAUCUGAUGUGAGAGGGUUCCCUCUCGUUAAAUUCCUUUCUCUCGUACUGAAUGAUCAUUAAGGAUCUCCAUCUCUCAUCAUUAUCUUGAGUACCAUACUCCUUUGACCAGUUCAAUGGUCCUCACUUCUGUCAGUUUUCGCUUAUCCUCCUUCUUCCUUUUGUCGUAGGAUGAGUGAAUUAUUUGCUUUCACAACGUUGUUGCUCCCAACGGUAUUUGUUGCCACUCUUUGCCCAACGUUACCAUACAUUCCUAUGGGUUGUCCUAUCAAAAUAUUUACUUACCUCAAAGAGAAUGAAUAUGUGCUCAACAAUCAUAGUUGGUUGGCACUUCUCAGACAUUAUCCCAUACUCUGGUACUUGUUGUUUUCUUUUCAUCCCCUCUGGACUCCCAUCUAUUCCUCUUUUUCGACUCAUUUUCAUCCUCGCAAAACUUAGUCUUGGUUUCUUUUUUCUUUUGUUUUUUUUUUAGGGUACGCCCUUCCUAUUUGGUGCUCUUUUUAUACUCUUGUAAAGGAUAUGUUUUUGAGAGACGAGGCAACUACCACCUUUGAUCUAUCACCAUCUUAUCCAUACCAGUGUUUCAUAUGAGUUUUCCAAGAACUUUUCUUCUGCACUAACAACGCUGCACCACAUAGCAAGAGUUAUAGGAGCACUAGCUUGCUCCCUGGUUAUGCACCAGGAUCAAGUAAUUUAUAGAAGAAUAUCAUAACAGUUGAUAACCACAGUACUCAUUUCUCACAACUUACUCCAUUUAUUUUUUUUCCCACUUACGCACGGCUAGACAAUACUUCAUCGAAUGCUACUUUUCGUUGAGUUUACCCUUGCACCACUUCAUGCUUGGAUAGCCACUAGUUUCCUCUUCACUACUCUCGACUACCUCUCCUUUAUCAAGGAAUAAUUGUUGGUCGAAAUAGAGAUAAUUUGUGUCAUUCUGGGAGACGCCACAUCAAUUAACGUCCCAAGUUCACUAAAAAAAAAAGAAAUUGUGAAGUCCAUCUUGCUUUUUGAUGUCCUCGAUUAAGCGAGUUUGUCAAAGGACAUGCUCAACUUAAUCCCCGCACUCAAGUUGUCUGCUUAGUCUUUAUUUCCUCAUAUCAUCCACUUCAGUUUUAUUUGUGAUCCUCACAAUUGGGUAAACAGUGUACGAAUCUUGUAUCUGUGCCCGCUUUGUAGCAUCAACUCCGCUAUACUUGACACUGGGCAACAAUAUGUUGUUUUAUAAUAGCUUCGAUUCUCAUUUCUUCUCUUAGAGUCCUCAAGAAGACUUUAAAGAUCUUCUCCUCCAUCCCAUGUCCCUUAUUUAACACAACACUCACAGAAUAUUUCCAUCAUGCUUGAUCCCUUCACGCGAACAAUACUACCUUAGGCGGGGAGGAACAAGAAAGUACAAACAACCUAGAGUUGACAACUCUAUGAUUUAUACCGAAUGUUCCCUCCCCCUUUACUCACCAUGUCCCUCAAGACCUUCGACACAUUUCCUCACCAGCAACUUGUAAAAUCAUAUGGCUUUCUUCAUGGAGAACACUUCAUACUGCUUAGUUAUGCCACUUCCAUGUGCUCUUGUUUACCACCUUUCAGACCACUCCCCCACUUAUUACUUUGGCCCAUCUUCUUAGGCGGCUAUCAAUCAGAUAUUAGAGUUGAAUAUUCCUUCAAUUCCUUGGUAAUAGAACCAACUCAAUAUUGGGAAAUGCAUUCCUUUACUCUACACCAUAAUCCUCCAGGUUCCGACCUUCUUCAGAAAGGUUUUAAGCUCAGUCAUAUCUCUUGAAUUGUUGUCACAAUCCGCUUACUCUAUUAAAAUCAAGUGCCACGUCCUCUUGUGUCAUCCAUAGAUGCUGAAAAGUUCCUUUAUGUACUUUCCUUAUGAACACCUUGUUGGAGUUUACCAACUCUCUUGAAUAACAAAUGUUACAUUCUUGUAGUAAAACUGGAGCUUAUCAUUUCAUAUCCUCCCUUUUCUCAUGUAUAGAGUGAACACUCUCUAUUCAUGGGACUUUACCCUUUCAUUUUUAGAAUAGAUUUAGCUUUAUAGCUUGAUCCCAUAAACGUUGUUCUUUAUAUGUCUGCACAGUCACCAAUCCCAAUAAUAUUAAUGCAUAAGUUCAUGUUGAAGAGAAAAUUAUUUACCUCCAUCCCACAACAAGGAUUGAAGUUCUGGGAUUCCACCCGUGCCUACUUCAUUGGCAUUAGCUCGUGAUUCACGCCAUUGAUAAUUGUUCCUCUGGUUCACUUCUGAAGUAUUGCUCAUAGUCUUUUCUAUGUCAUAUUUAAUAUUAUUGCACCAUUCCUGCAAGUAAAACAAAAUACAUGAGAGGCUUUUGCCUCAAUUCUGUCUCGGGAGGCCUCUUGCCUCAAUUCUAUCUUCGGAGGCCUCUUGCCUCAAUUAUGUCUCAGGAGGCCUCUUGCCUCAAUUUUGUCUCAUGAGGCCUCUUGCAUCAAUUUUGAGUGGAAUGGUCUCAGGAUUCUCGAAUGGCCUCAAGCUCUAUUGGCUCAUCCUCCCCCUUAUCACUAUACCCUGAGGUCGUUACUCUCUCUCCAAGGGCCACUAAAAGGAAGCAUGUAGCACCUAGUCAUUACCCUCUCUCCAUAAGACAUUUCCAAUGGAGUGUGCAGUACUAGGUCAUUACCUCUCUCCCAAUGGUGUCCCUAGUAGAGCGUGCAACACCUCUAGUUAAUAUGGCCAGUCUAGCCCGAAGGCUCAUGCUUUUGUCUUCUUCGCCUCAUAAUGUGCUACUACUCCUCGUAGCUUCAUAAUUGGGAGGUCACUGCCUCCUCCUUUCACCACUUUAGGCUCAAGAUCACCCCACCGGGUGUCAUUCGCAUGAAGGAGGUUUUGGAAGGCCUCAAUCUCCCGUCAAUUUGGCUAUCAUAGCCAACAACGUUCAUUUUUAUUAUAUAUAUAUAUAUAUAUAUAUAUNNNNNNNNNNNNNNNNNNNNNNNNNNNNNNNNAUAUAUAUAUAUAUAUUUCACUCUAGUGCCUCAAGGCACUUCUAACCAGAAUCAUCUCCAAUGCGUUUCCCUCUUAGGUGGCAUAGACAACCAACCAGGCAGCACGAUUCUCACCCUUCUCUCAAGGGCCUUUGUGCAGGUGCCAAACUUCAUCAUUCCUUUAUCUUGCUCGCAGAUCUUUCUUGCUCUGAUACCAAUUGUCACGGUUUCAGAUUUCAGCAAUUGCCUGGAACCGUGCGGCACUUGACUUGAACACCUUCAAGCCAAGUCAGCCUUAAGAAUCACCCGAUACCCUGUGAACAUGAGUACCCUGAUUAGUCAAGGUUAUAUAAGCGAAUAGCGAAGCCAACAGGCAGCAUUCCAUUAGAAGCCUCACAGUAGGCACAAAAGAUAAGAACUGAACAUGAGAAUUCAUGAACAGGCUACUUAUUUUAUUACAGGGGCAAAAUAGUAAUUAUACAUUAUCAUCGAUGUAAUCGUUACAAUAAUUCUCACCUCCCUUGUAGACAGGGGGGACGGUCUACAAGGAGUGAAGGCACAACUUGGAUCUCCAUAGGCCUACGGUAGCCAACUGGGCCCAGCCCCAGCUGGUGGCCAACUAGUCACUCCCCCCUAAAGAGCCUUAGGAACAACUUGGCUUGUGGCAGGAGGAGACAUCAACAUGUCUCAUAUGACAC